Molecule: RNA transcript, 1734 nt
Organism: Branchiostoma floridae (Florida lancelet)
Lineage: Eukaryota; Metazoa; Chordata; Leptocardii; Amphioxiformes; Branchiostomatidae
Exons: 6
Source: RefSeq, a predicted model, not a curated record
UAUAGCAACACGGACUAUGUUAUAUGUAUUUCUAGAACAACGCACUUGUCCUUCGCAACUUUUCUCUUUCAAAAGUCGUUUUUGCCGCAUAAAUAAGCCCCAGAUUGUUCUGACGUCUUCCUGGCCGUCUAUGAGAAGAAACGCGACAACUAGGACACAGAGACUCCCGUGUCUUGAUUCAAACUUUCCUGGUCAGUCGGUAAAUACCUGGAAAGUGCCGUCACCUCAAGUGCGCAGCUGACGGAGGGGCGCGUGGCGUCAGGCACGGGUGGCUGGGGUCAAGUAUGGGUGGAGCCUUGUUCCCCUGACACUACCAGCAGAGAAGUUAUGACAUCCCCACCAGACCAGAAUCAAGCUGAACGGAACUAUCCGGAUCCGUUACACGGACUGAUCCGGACUCCUGACGAGCCCUCUGCGCCGGCGGCGUCCCGAGCGUCCAUCACACACCAGGACCAGGAUGGGCUCUCCCCUGCGGGCGGAGCGGCAGCCUCCUCCCCGGACAGCCCGCAGUGUGGCUGCACGGGCACGCACUUCCACCCGCCAGAUCUCAACAAACUAGGCCUGGCACCGCGCGGAUCGCUCCCUAGAGACAAUUACCGAUGUCCAGUGGCCUUCAGGGUCAGAGACAUUCGGUGGUAAAGGUUGGUAAGACGGUAUUCCCGGCAGGUGGCGCAGGAGAACGGGAGGGAGAAGCUGAUGACCCGCUGUAAGGAGGUAACCGCUAUGAUGGGACCUGAUCUGACCGAUCCAAAGAACAGGACCCGGAAAAUGUCAUCCCAGAAAAGUUCGACUUUGGUCACUAAGUACAGCGGACCAUCCACCUUCCUGCCGACCGUAACCGGCUCGUCCCAUCACAGCAGCAGCCUUCUCACCCCAGGAACCUCAGGCUUCCCGCCUUUAUCUUCUGACGAGUCUGUGAGGCACAGGAAACAUCACAAGAAGUCGGGGAAAAGAGCACAAAAGAGCAGCAGCAACUCUAAACGCCGGCGAGCGUCACCGAAAGGUUUGGCCAACACUGGCAACAGUUUGCCGAAGCUGGCAGUUUCGAAUUCGGCUGGGGGCGUGUCGUAUCCACACACGGAUAGCAAAGUCUUCAAGGUAGACCGACUUCAACCGUUGCACACUACAACCACAGGCGCCUCUGUCCAUCGGACCAUCAGAGGCGACAAGAAGUCACCACACAAGCGGCGGAAAAGCAGCAAAACGUCCACCUGAACUGUCAAUCUCCACAGGAGAUGAUAUUAAGUUAAAAGAAUCCAGGGAAAUUAUCCAAGGACAUAUGAGAGUUAUGCUUUUUACGCGUACGACAGAUGUGUCUUCCAACUGUAAAUAAGAUAGAUGUGAUACAUUUUCACCUAUCAUCUCAUAUUGUUUGGGUAUGGACCAGAUGUGUGUUCAACAAGCUGGCAGGCUAGUGUAGCGAUUCUUUAAGACACAAUACUUUGUCAAGCAAAACGUCCACUUGCUGUUUGUUUAUUUUCAAAUUGCUACAGAUGUGCACUUAUGUACAGCUAUCUAUGUCAGUAAAGAUGAGUUGAUUGCUGUAGAAUAUCUAAUUUACAAGUGCAUAGUGAGAUAUCUACAGGACCAGAGGUCUUGUUUUAGUCACUAGCGGGCCAGUGUGGGCUAGUCUGGCGACUCCUGACAACCCGAAUACACCACUGUACAUGUUUAGACGGUAGUCAUUUUCUUUCUCAUGGAAUCCUGAUCGAUAAUAAAUUUCAUCAUCUUGUC